This 301-nucleotide ribosomal RNA is filed under the name uncultured bacterium. RNAcentral's name for it is "partial 16S ribosomal RNA". It matches the Rfam family "Bacterial small subunit ribosomal RNA", at positions 509 to 807 of the family's 1533-position model. The record is from RNAcentral.
CAGUCGCCGCGGUAACACGGAGGGGGCUAGCGUUGUUCGGAAUUACUGGGCGUAAAGCGCACGUAGGCGGCUUGGUAAGUUAGAGGUGAAAGCCCGGAGCUCAACUCCGGAAUUGCCUUUAAGACUGCCGAGCUAGUAGGUGAGAGAGGUAAGUGGAAUUCCGAGUGUAGAGGUGAAAUUCGUAGAUAUUCGGAAGAACACCAGUGGCGAAGGCAGCUCGCUGGGACGUGACUGACGCUGAGACGCGAAAGCGUGGGGAGCGAACAGGAUUAGAUACCCGAGUAGUCCCUGUCUCUUAUAC